Molecule: ribosomal RNA, 880 nt
Filed under: uncultured eukaryote
Lineage: Eukaryota
Description: SSU rRNA
Rfam family: Eukaryotic small subunit ribosomal RNA
Source: RNAcentral
GUGCAGGCAGCCGCGGUAAUUCCAGCUCCAAUAGCGUAUAUUAAAGUUGUUGCGGUUAAAAAGCUCGUAGUUGGAUCUCGGCAAGUAGAGGGCGGUAUGCUUCGUAGCAUUACUGCCCUAUUACUUGUAGUUUUGCCAGAGGUUCCUGGGUGCUCUUAAUCGAGUGUCUAGGGAUGCUGGCAGGUUUACUUUGAAAAAAUUAGAGUGCUCAAAGCAGGCUAUUACGCUUGAAUAUUCGUGCAUGGAAUAAUAGAAUAGGAAGUUGUUUCUAUUUUGUUGGUUUUCGGAAAUCGACUUAAUGAUUAAUAGGGACAGUCGGGGGCAUUUGUAUUCAAACGACAGAGGUGAAAUUCUUGGACCGUUUGAAGACAAACUACUGCGAAAGCAUUUGCCAAGAAUGUUUUCAUUAAUCAAGAACGAAAGUUAGAGGUUCGAAGGCGAUUAGAUACCGCCCUAGUUCUAACCAUAAACGAUGCCAGCUAGCGAUCUGAGGACGUUUUUUUUGUAGACUCCUCAGGAAGCUUCCGGGAAACCAAAGCGUGUGGGUUCCGGGGGAAGUAUUGGUUUGCAAAGCUGAAACUUAAAGGAAUUGACGGAAGGGCACCACCAGGAGUGGAGCCUGCGGCUUAAUUUGACUCAACACGGGAAAUCUCACCAGGCCCGGACACUGGAAGGAUUGACAGAUUGAGAGCUCUUUCUCGAUUCGGUGGGUGGUGGUGCAUGGCCGUUCUUAGUUGGUGGAGUGAUUUGUCUGGUUAAUUCCGAUAACGAACGAGACUCUGUCCUGCUAAAUAGUGUCAGCCUCUCUUCUGGGCUGACAAUUCUCCUUAGAGGGACUGGCGGCUCCUAGCCGCACGAGAUAGAGCAAUAACAGGUCUGU